GUAAGGAAUAUUGGACAAUGGGGGGAACCCUGAUCCAGCCAUGCCGCGUGGAGGAAGACUGCCCUCUGGGUUGUAAACUCCUUUUAUAUGGGAAGAACCGUCCUCAUUGAUGAGUGACCUGACGGUACCAUAGGAAUAAGCACCGGCUAACUCCGUGCCAGCAGCCGCGGUAAUACGGAGGGUGCAAGCGUUAUCCGGAUUCACUGGGUUUAAAGGGUGCGUAGGCGGAUAUGUAAGUCAGUGGUGAAAUCAACGGGCUCAACCUGGUAACUGCCAUUGAUACUGUGUAUCUUGAAUAUGAGAGAGGUAGGCGGAAUGUUGCAUGUAGCGGUGAAAUGCUUAGAUAUGCUACGGAACACCGAUUGCGAAGGCAGCUUACUAUUUCGUAAUUGACGCUGAGGCACGAAAGCGUGGGUAGCGAACA
Molecule: ribosomal RNA, 424 nt
Filed under: uncultured bacterium
Lineage: Bacteria
Description: bacterial SSU rRNA
Rfam family: Bacterial small subunit ribosomal RNA
Source: RNAcentral